CAAAAAAAUCAGUUUAAAAAAAAAAAAAGAAAAAAAAGAAAAGAAAAAGCAGCGCCCCUCAGACCCAACUACCAAAUCUCAUGGCUUUCUGCCACUCCGGCUGUCAAUCACAGGCGAGGUUGUCAACGUGGUGAAUGAAUGAUCAUCCGCUCUGUCUUCUUCUGGUCAGAACACCUCAAAUGUUAAUAUUCAAAUGCACAAAGCCCUAGCGCUCGCUCCCCUUGAAUCAGUCCUAAUUCCUAAUCAGUUUCUCUCUUCUCUCGCUCGCUCGCUCUUUCUCUUUCUCUCUCUCUCUCUCCCUCUUUGCAACUGCUGCACUGGAGGGAGAUUAGAGGAGGAGGGUUAAAAAAAAAAUGUCUGUCUGAGUUUGUCUUAAAGGAGCCACAAUCGAUGCUGCCCGCUUGCAGUCCCCGUGCGUGUGUAAAGUGUGUGUUGCACAGGCGGAGAGGUGGAUUCCGACCAGAAUGCUAGAACCCGGAAGUAGUGGUGGCCAUAACAGGUCGCGUCUUACACAAUGCAUUGGGCUGCAGCAAGUAGGCUCCCCGGCAGGGGUGGGUGCGCGAAGCGAGCUCUGGCCGCACUGGAGAGGCAGAGAGGCGCUCCAUUAAAUCGCACGCCCAGGCACAAACACCCACACACCCAGGGCACACGCGCACAGACGCGGCCAGCAGAUCCCGGCCACCGGUCUUAUUUUCCGUAUUCUUUUCUCUCCCUCCCCCUCCAGACUCUCUCCCCAAAGCCGAUGCUUGAAAUAAACUGGGAAUAAAUGCGGGGCAGGCAGUGGCGGGAGUUAUUUUGCACGGGGCUCCGCGCAUUGACUUCAUGACUUUCCUCGAAAUGAUUGGGGUCUGCCAGUGUUUUUUUCAGGGCGGAAGGGGGUGAUGAGGAAAGUACCGGGUUCUCAGAACUAAAGACUCCCAAGUCGAAAAGUCAAGAGGGGAGCGGGGAGGAGGAGCGGGAGCAAGGCUGGGAAAGGCUCUGCUAAGGAGUCCCGUGAACGUGGGGUGGGGAUGGCUGGGGCUGUCUGCUGAUCCAGCUUAAGAGUUUUUUGCUGUCAGAGGUAGACACUCGGUCCAAGGAGAGGAAAUGCUUGCAUUUUCUCACUUUGGGGGUCUGGACGCCCCCACCUCCUAGCCCUGGAGACCUCCCCAACCCCGGAGUCCUGCACGAAGUGCGAGAGGAAGGGAGGGAACAAUGAGCUCAGAGCCGGGAAUGUGCCCCCAGCGCCUGUUUACAAACACCAAGCUAUUUACGAUCGCCGGAAAGCGAAACCCGACGCGGGCUCGGAGCAGCCCCGACCUCGCGGGCGGAGCCGGGCCCAGGCGCCGCGGGGAGGGAGGCUCUUUCUCCGAUCCUCUCCGGGCGGAGCAGCGGUGCGCCCAGGGCGCGGCGCAGCAGGGCCGGCGCGUUCGGCUGGGACUACAGCCGCUCCGCCUUUGUCUUCGAGGCGCCGAAGGGCUCUGGCUGAUGCCGUGCUCGGGCCUGAAGGGACCCGGCGCCGUCAGCUUUUCCCCGGCGACGCCUCGCGCUCUCCUCAGCCCCUUCUCCUCCCCAUCUCGCCCCCCACUCCGCUUUCCUGUCUCCAACCCGGCUCGGGGAAAACUCCCAGCGCCGAAGACAUCCACAUCAAAAGCUGAGCCGGCCCGACUCUGAUUUGCCGAAAUGGCUCAAGCCUCAGCAGCUCAACCCGCGGGCUAGAAACCUCACAUUUCCAAGCUGGGCUCGCAGCUCGCUCGGCUCGGGGCAAGAUCUUCUCCCCCUCCCUCCAGCUGAAACCUCGCAGAAAACUCCCCCUGCGGUCGACUGGAAAAUGAACUCACCCAAAUCUCGGGUCUUGUACUUUUCUCCACCGCCAACAUGUAUACAGUUUUCUGGCACAAACGCCCCGCCACAGGCACAUCACGCGGGAGGUGAAGGCAGGCCCGCGUGUCAAAGCCAAGGGGAUCCAGAAAUGAAAAAAGAAAGUUCAGAUACAACACUGGCUGGCUGGCUGUUUAAAAGAAACAACAUAGCCAAACACACUCCAAAUCAAACAGCCUUGGUGGAUUGUUCAGCAUUUGAAGGCUUGAUCUUUUGUGCCGUCUACUGGACAAUGGAAAAACUACAGUCUCUACAAUUUAAACUUUUCUCUUGUCCAGUGUUGGGGGUGGGGAGUGGGUAGGAAGGGGGAUGUGACUUGCUACUGGUAAAUAAUAAGAGAGGAAACGAGACCUAAUUUAGACUCAGAGUACAGAUCUUGUGACUUCAAAUCUUCAAAUCCAAGUUUAGGAUUAACUAUAGGCAUGCCUCAACCACUUGAUUAAGGCACAAGGCUAAAACCUACAUUUUACACAACUCUGUGUGUGUGUGUGUGUGUGUGUGUGUGUGUGUGUGUGUGUCUUGGCUUGGAAAGAGAAAGAAAGAUGGUGGGACAAGCUUAGCAUCUCUGAAAAAAAUAUUGGUGGUUACUUGGCUCUGAGUGAGAAUUGGCUUGACAGCCAAGUUACAUGUAUUUAUUGCCUAGGUAAUCCAGGAUGUACAGGUUAAUUCUUGGAAUUUGGAACAUGAUAUUGUUCAAUAAUCCAGAAGAGUACUUUCAUGAGGGGAGAAAUGAAAUUGGUAAUUAGAACAAUGUUAGUGCAGUUACUUUUUGGCAAUCUUGGAUAAAAACGUGAAACUUCACUGUUUUCACUUGGAGACCACAUGUGGGAAAAAGUGAGGGUGAAAGUCACAGUCAGAUGCUUUUAUGUAGCAGAGGCUGUUUGAUGUUCUCUUAAACAUGUAAAAACAUUGUAUACAUUUUGGUUACGAUUUCAAAAAUAUUUAUAGAGCUCUAGUAUUAUGGAAGCUUCAUACAAAAAAUGCAUGGAGCUAACUUUGACCUCUGACAUUGACAUAGUUUCUGAAUAACCAUAAUUACCAUAUAGACGUGAUUUUGUGUAGGAAAAAUAUAAACAAAGCCCAAUGCCAAUGAAAUACAGAGAAGUCAAGCUGGUUUUGGUGGAAGAGACAUAGACUUGGGUACAAGGCUCUUAAAACAGUCCAUCUGCUUUUCUGAAGUUAAAAUUCCCUAUUGAAUUUUAAUAUAACCUAGUAGUACACGACUAGUUGAUAGGGUGCCUUUAAAUAAUAAUCCAAUAGUGAAAAGGAGUCAGCUUUAGGGCAUUUUCUUGCUGCAUAAAUAUAUUUCAAUGAUCUACUUCAAAUGAUGUGGCAGUGUGUCAGAAUGACGUUAACAUAUUGUAUUAAAUAUAGAUAUAGCAGAGAAUUGGGGACUCCUUAAAGCAUUGCUUAUGUUGCAGAGUAAAAAUAAAUAAAUAAAACAGGAUGCUUUCCGUUGUGCUGCAGUGUGGCGGAGGGGGUGGUGGGAGUGGCGGACCAUGUCUCCUUAACUUUAGCAUAACCAACUGGACUGUGAAAGGUUAUUUUAUGAGAUGCUGUUUGGAUCCCUUGGUCCAGAAUAAAGCAGCCACAACAGGGCUCUCCUAAGGAUCGCUAGAAAAUGUAGAAAAUUCUUACGGGAACCAAUUACCAGUACUCACACGCCUGAUACAUUCUAAGCUGGACGGUGGAAGUACUGAGGGCUGGAGAAGGUUCUCUGGUCACCAAGUGCAAACAUUUAUCUUUGAAGCAACAGGAUGGGCCAGACUGGUCAUGAUAAACAUUCAUGUUCCACUGGAUAAAGGGGCAUAUUUUGUGAAAACCUUCAGGCAAAAAAAAAAAAAAUCGUACUGAUUGUUCAAAAAUAAGUAUCUUAACAUUUCAUUGAGCUCUCUAAUGAAUGAGAACAUCCUAGGCCUCCUGCAGCUCAGAAAGCAUCCUGGUAGCCUGGGACCCAGGGAAGGAACAGACCAGGAGCUGAAGGAGCCUGCUGAGUCGCUAUUCACUUGGGGAUAUCUGAAAACAUAGUGUCCCAUGCCCUUAUUUAAAAAGGAAAAAUAAAUAUCAUAUUUCCAUGUCUUUUUCAAACAA
Molecule: long non-coding RNA, 3951 nt
Organism: Myotis lucifugus (little brown bat)
Lineage: Eukaryota; Metazoa; Chordata; Mammalia; Chiroptera; Vespertilionidae
Exons: 5
Source: RefSeq, a predicted model, not a curated record